GGGCCCGCACAAGCGGUGGAGUAUGUGGCUUAAUUCGAUGCAACGCGAGGAACCUUACCUGGGCUAAAUCCACAGUGAUGUCUUCUGGAAACAGGAGGUCCCUUAGGGGCACUAUGGAAGGUGCUGCAUGGCUGUCGUCAGCUCGUGCCGUGAGGUGUCAGGUUAAGUCCUAUAACGAGCGCAACCCCUGUUGUUAGUUGCCAGCGAGUCAUGUCGGGAACUCUAACAAGACUGCCGGUGCAAACCGUGAGGAAGGUGGGGAUGACGUCAAAUCAUCACGGCCCUUACGUCCUGGGCUACACACGUGCUACAAUGGUCGGUACAGAGAGCAGCCACUACGCGAGUAGGAGCGAAUCUUCAAAGCCGAUCACAGUUCGGAUCGGAGUCUGCAACUCGACUCCGUG
Molecule: ribosomal RNA, 404 nt
Filed under: uncultured bacterium
Lineage: Bacteria
Description: bacterial SSU rRNA
Rfam family: Bacterial small subunit ribosomal RNA
Source: RNAcentral